This 1316-nucleotide long non-coding RNA is filed under the name Equus asinus (donkey). Its description in RNAcentral is "lncRNA (ENSEASG00005037228.1)". Lineage: Eukaryota; Metazoa; Chordata; Mammalia; Perissodactyla; Equidae. The record is from RNAcentral.
GUUUUUUGUGGUUUUCUCUUCUUCCGGUUUGAGGGGCAAACACCCAGGAAGGGGACUCGAGGCGGCCAGGCCUCCGGGUUCUGUUCAAUCGGCCUUUUGUGAACCUGGCCCCUCGGGCGGCCACACCCAGACCCGGAGCCCCCGCUGCCCCGAGGCCGCUGUCCGCAAGGCGGCCACGUCCUGAUGGACUGAACCUGCGGGUCCGGGUCCCGGUUCCUCGCCGGCUGUGGAUGCCACAGGCCGAGACCUCAGGACGGCGCCGGGCCGUGGGGACGGGGAUGGCUCCAUCCUCCCGACCGAGGCCUCUGAGCGUCGCUAACUGCUGUGAGGCGACUUGAACCUGCAGAUGAGCUUCCGGAACAGCACACUCACUCGCGCCCAGACCCCAGAUGCACCGCGGUCGUCAUUCUGCCCCCGGAGCUGUGUGUGCGGGGUUUCCAGCAAAGGGGCAGCCCCCUCACCCUUUAUCCCAAACACGCCCAGCAGCUCAAUUUGUGGUGAUUUGUCAGAGCUGCAACAGGAGAUGAAUACAUCGAGCUCUCCAUCACAUGCCCCAUCAGAGAACCCACAGGACCUGGCCUCCCACAGCCCCAGCUCUCGGGCACUAAGCUGACAUAGAGUCUGUACCAGCCAUCCUUCUGGCUCGAGGAGCCAGCAUCCUGGAGGCAGAGGUUGGCACAUCCGGGUGCGCAUGCCUCCUACAGACACUGCAGAACCCGCUGCUCUGAGUCCUAGAGGCCGCACUUGAGUAAAUUGUGAACGGGCUUACUGGAAGGUGGUAUUGUCUGCUGCAAACGACAGACGCGCAGCUUAAACCAGCUUUAUCUUAUUGAGGAGGAGGAGUUCAGGCAUGGCUGGAUCCAGGGCCUCCAACAAUAGCACAGGGAAUUGCUGCUGCCCCUCUUGGCUCCGUGUCCCCUGGGGCUGGCCUCUCCCUGGCCUUGGGCAGGAGCCGCUUGCAGCUCCAGGCUCACACCCCUCCCCUCGGGCUUGGUCAGGACCUGGGUGUCAGUUUCCCCACAAAAGUCUCGGGGCCGACUCCUGGUUUGCUGACGGUCAGGUGCUUCUUAUCGGCUGGCGCCCCCUCCUGGGCCAUUUGGCUGGGACUGCAGCAGGUGACUCCACAAAGGCACAUCUGGUGCUGGGAGCGGGGAUGCCGGCCGUGACCCAGGGGCCGGCCCUCACCGCACAGUCCAGAGAUGGGAGGGCCCUGCCCCGAGGGGGCUCAGCGCACCAGUCCUGGAGCCCUGCUCCCCUGGUUCUGACUCCAGUUCCCAGCCUGUGGGGCUUUGUGACUCCCAAGAAGUCACUUUCCU